Passer domesticus (house sparrow) is the source of this 1885-nucleotide long non-coding RNA. RefSeq lists it as uncharacterized. The record is from RefSeq and is a predicted model, not a curated record. NCBI's taxonomy places the organism in Eukaryota, Metazoa, Chordata, Aves, Passeriformes, Passeridae. The transcript has 3 exons.
UGCAAUUCAAUAUUCACAUUUGACAGUCUUCAACUGAGUCCAUAUUUAUGUAGAGGCCAUUCAUGAGCAAUUUUAAAAGCAUAGUGCAUAAAAUUAGAAAAUACAUCAAAGUCACAGAAAAAAAUUCAAAUUGCAUUUUCACUUUCUGACCUUUUUUCUUCUAAAUUUCCUUCUAAAUGCUAUUUCAAGAAAGCUGAGACAUUGAUAUUAAUGCAAAUUUUGUUUUAAUAGGGAAAUUAUUUUUCACUGUUUUUCAUAGCAGAUUAUACAGCCUCUGGAAAAGGAAAGCAAAGCAUGUUUCAGAUGAAAUACACUGCACUGUCUCUAUGCACAGCAAUACAAGAUAUUUACAUUCUAUACAGAUGGCUGAAUGCAUACAUACAUUACUUUACAAAGCAAUAAAUAAUAUUAAUAGGAGAUAUCAAAUUUGUACACAUUUUAUGAAAUAUGUACAAUCUUGUAGUUUGUAACUAAGCUUUUGCACACAUGCAGUUGGAAACUGAAAUGAAGGGGGCUGUGUCUUCUGCUGUCCUCAGAGUGCACUGCUAAUAAAGCUGUGGCUUCUCAUCCUGCUGUUCUAAUUUUUAUAAAAAGCAAAUACUGUGUGGUCUCUUUAAGAAAUUUUUAAGUGCAUAUCAUGGUAAUGGAUUGCCACCCUUCCUGAAUCAAUUCCUGGCUUGUUCUAGAUUGCCAGCAACUGGUCCUGAAAGCACAUUCAGAAUGAUUAGAAGUGCUCAAUAAUUUUUCCUCCAGGAACAAACAACCAAAAUUGAAAUGUGCUCCUGGAGUUUCGUGCUCACCACUUCCUCAAAAGGCUCCACUUCUUGGAAAGAGAUUUUCCCUUUGAAGUCAUAUAUGAGCGUGUAUCAGAUCAAGGACCAUUUCUCUGGCUCUUUACCUUCAGCCUCUGGCAUAGAUAGCAAAAGUGUUUUGGACAAGAAGACUUGCUCAACGGACAGGCUUCCUUCUCUGCCUCAGUGCAGAGCCUGGUGCCAAACCCACUCCCACUCAAACCCAGCUGCAGAGGGAUGCUGGUGUGGAUAAUACACUGUCUGACUCUGCAGCUGGAGGUGCUGACACAAAGCCCAGAUCCAUUCACUUCAAAGCAACACACCGGGUGGACCUGACUUGCCUGGAAAACACAGAGUAGCACUUACAAAGAGAUGUUCAGCAUAAGGUAGGGCAUUUUGCCAGUAAGUGUAAUUAAUUUACACUAAGAUAGAUUCAAUCUUUUAUUUCAAAAGAAUUCUAGGAUUGAUUCUCUUUAAUUCAUAUCCACUUACAGUGAAACAGUCAAGCUAAUCACAGAAAUCAUUUGAAGUAGCUAUUUCCAUAAACAAGCAAUUAGGCACUUAUAAAAUGACUUUUAGAUGUGAUUUUAAUAUAAAAUGGGACAUAGUCUUCAUUGAUAUUCUUAGCAUUAAGCAGAAUGUUAUUGUCUCUAUUCUUUAAAGAUUUUACAAUUUCUGUGCUCAAUUAUUAUGAAGUAAUAAAGACAUAAUAUUAAUCCAGCUGGCCAGCAGUGAGAGACUUUCCAAGGGGGGACUCUUUCCAAAGGGAACUCUUUCAUCUCUUUUGUGGCAUGACCUGCACAGCUGCCCUACCUGUGUGAGCACUCAUGGGUUAAGUGUGAAUCCUCAUGAAGCUCCACCAAUUUCAAGGUGCUGAGCCUUUCAAGGUGGCCUGUACAAUUGACAAUUAAACUUCAUGCAUCCUAGGGAAACUAUUACCAUAGAGAAAUAAGUUAUAGGAGAUCUGCAUCCUGGGCCUGAGUAGCAGCACCUGGGGUGCCUGAAGCACGAUUUGCAGAUGUGUAGUGCCUCUUCUUCCAGGGGUGCAGGAGGAGGCUGGGGUGGAAGCCUGCCAGCCCUCCUGGGAGGAGAGA